GAUGAAUGUUGUGAUAAAAAUAAAAGCCCAUGUCAACAAAUUUGUACCAACACAAAUGGAAGCUAUGUGUGUUCAUGUAGGCGUGGAUAUUUCAUUAGUAGCAGUGAUGCUAAAAAUUGUAUUGACAUAAAUGAGUGUGCAAAUACAACCGCGCCUGUAUGCCAACAAAAAUGUACAAAUACAGUUGGAAGUUUUAAAUGUUCUUGUGGAGAUGGCUACAACAUUAAUACAACAGACCCUACCAAGUGUGAUGAUAUCAACGAAUGUGCAGAUACUAAAAAACCCGUGUGCGAACAUUUCUGUAUUAAUACACCUGGAAGCUUUAGAUGCACGUGUAGAAAUGGCUACAACAUAAACACGACUGACCCCACCAAAUGUGAUGAAAUCAACGAAUGUGCCGAUACCACCAACCCUGUGUGUGAACAACACUGUAGAAAUACACCUGGAAGUUUUGUUUGUUCAUGUGAUGAUGGCUACCUAAUCAACACAACAGACCACACCAAA
Physella acuta is the source of this 504-nucleotide long non-coding RNA. RefSeq lists it as uncharacterized. NCBI's taxonomy places the organism in Eukaryota, Metazoa, Mollusca, Gastropoda, Physidae. The record is from RefSeq and is a predicted model, not a curated record.